GCGGAGCAGUGACGGCUGGGAUAAUAGCGAGGCAGCAGUGCCGCUCUUAGAGGGUCCGGGCUCAGAGGGGCCAUGAUUCGGAGGGUUCUGCCGCACGGCUUGGGCCGGGGCCUCUUGACCCGGAAGCCAGGCACGCGCAGAGGAGGCUUUUCUCUGGAAAUGGGGUUUUGCCAUGUUGCCCAGGCUGGUCUCGGAUUCCUGAACUCAAGCAAUCAGCUCUCCUCGGCCUCCCAAAGUGCUGGGAUUACAGGCAUGAGCCACCCACCCGGCUGGUUUUUACACUUUAGAUGUUCCCGUUUGCAUUGCCAGCUAGCCACGAGUCUUGCUACUUUACUUCAAUCAUAACCUUUCGUUUUCCAAAUGUAUUCACAGGCCUCCACUGGGCUCUCAGUAGGUGGGAUUUGUCAGCAGUUCUCAUUGCCUGAGAACAUCCAGCUCUCCCUCUUUUCAGCCAGCUUUCUACGGAAUAUCAAUGAGUACCUGGCCGUAGUCGAUGCCCCUCCCUUGGACCUCCGGUUCAGCCCCUCAGGCUACCUCUUGCUGGCUUCAGAAAAGGAUGCUGCAGCCAUGGAGAGCAACGUGAAAGUGCAGAGGUGGGAGCCAAAAUUUCUCUGAUGUCUCCUGAUCAGCUUCGGAACAAGUUUCCCUGGAUAAACACAGAGGGAGUGGCUUUGGCAUCUUACGGGAUGGAGGACGAAGGUUGGUUUGACCCCUGGUGUCUGCUCCAGGGCCUUCGGCGAAAGGUCCAGUCCUUGGGAGUCCUUUUCUGCCAGGGAGAGGUGACACGUUUUGUCUCUUCAUCUCAACGCAUGUUGACCACAGAUGACAAAGCGGUGGUCUUGAAAAGGAUCCAUAAAGUCCACGUGAAGAUGGACUGCAGCCUGGAGUACCAGCCUGUGGAAUGCGCCAUUGUGGUCAACGCAGCCGGAGCCUGGUCUGCGCAAAUCGCAGCGCUGGCUGGUAUUGGAGAGGGGCCACCUGGCACCCUGCAGGGCACCAAGCUACCUGUGGAGCCGAGGAAAAGGUAUGUGUAUGUAUGGCACUGCCCCCAGGGACCAGGCCUAGAGACUCCGCUUGUUGCAGACACCAGUGGAGCCUAUUUUCGCCGGGAAGGAUUAGGUAGCAACUACCUAGGUGGUCGUAGCCCCACUGAGCAGGAAGAACCGGACCCAGCGAACCUGGAAGUGGACCAUGAUUUCUUCCAGGACAAGGUGUGGCCCCAUUUGGCCCUGAGGAUCCCAGCUUUUGAGACUCUGAAGGUUCAGAGCGCCUGGGCCAGCUAUUACGACUACAACACCUUUGACCAGAAUGGCGUGGUGGGCCCCCACCCGCUAGUUGCCAACAUGUACUUUGCUACUGGCUUCAGUGGUCACGGGCUCCAGCAGGCCCCUGGCGUUGGGCGAGCUGUAGCAGAGAUGAUACUGAAGGGCAGGUUCCAGACCAUCGACCUGAGCCCCUUCCUCUUUACCCGCUUUUACUUGGGAGAGAAGAUCCAAGAGAACAACAUCAUCUGAGCAUGUGUGCUCUGCACUGGCUCCACUGGCUUGCAUCCUGGCUGUGUUCACAGCCUUCUUUGCUGCUUCCAUCUUCCCCAGCACUGUGCCAGGCCUUCUCCCCCUCCCCAGUGUCCUCUCCUCUCAGGCAGGCCAUUGCACCCACAUGGCUGGGCAGGUGCAGGCACUGAGGCCCAGGCCAAUAGCGAGUGAUGAGCGGGAUCCUAGGACUGAUCUGUAGCCCAUAUUGAUGUCACCCACCAGGGCAAUCCAUCUAGAGGCCUGAGCACCCUGGCCCAGGACUGGCUCCAUCCUGGCACUGACCAGGAAAGACUGCCUCUGACCCUCUUAGCAGACAGAGCCCAGGCAUGGGAGCACUCUGGGGCAGCCUGGCUCAGGUUUAUUGAUUUUUGUCUGUUUACCCUAUCCAUUAAUCAAUACAUGUAAUUAACUCCUUCCCUCC
This 1956-nucleotide small RNA is filed under the name Pongo abelii (Sumatran orangutan). RNAcentral describes it as "processed transcript". The record is from RNAcentral. Lineage: Eukaryota; Metazoa; Chordata; Mammalia; Primates; Hominidae.